Molecule: unclassified non-coding RNA, 215 nt
Filed under: Hevea brasiliensis (rubber tree)
Lineage: Eukaryota; Viridiplantae; Streptophyta; Magnoliopsida; Malpighiales; Euphorbiaceae
Source: RNAcentral
UUAAGUUCGUAUUGUAGAUCUUCUCCCAUUCCUCCUCUGACAAAUUCAGUGGAGAGUGCACACUGCCUCGAAUUCCAGCGUUAUUAACCAAAACAUCGAUACGUCCAAAGGCGUUCCAAGCUUUCUGCACGGCGGCUUCAAUGGCAGCAUCAUUCGCGCUAACGUCGAGCUCAAUCGCUACGGCUUGAAUCUCCUGACUUGAAAUUGUCGAUUCG